Molecule: ribosomal RNA, 484 nt
Filed under: uncultured bacterium
Lineage: Bacteria
Description: partial 16S ribosomal RNA
Rfam family: Bacterial small subunit ribosomal RNA
Source: RNAcentral
AUUGAACGCUGGCGGCAGGCCUAACACAUGCAAGUCGAGCGGAUGAAGGGAGCUUGCUCCUGGAUUCAGCGGCGGACGGGUGAGUAAUGCCUAGGAAUCUGCCUGGCAGUGGGGGAUAACGUCCGGACACGGGCGCUAAUACCGCAUACGUCCUGAGGGAGAAAGUGGGGGAUCUUCGGACCUCACGCUAUCAGAUGAGCCUAGGUCGGAUUAGCUAGUUGGUGGGGUAAAGGCCUACCAAGGCGACGAUCCGUAACUGGUCUGAGAGGAUGAUCAGUCACACUGGAACUGAGACACGGUCCAGACUCCUACGGGAGGCAGCAGUGGGGAAUAUUGGACAAUGGGCGAAAGCCUGAUCCAGCCAUGCCGCGUGUGUGAAGAAGGUCUUCGGAUUGUAAAGCACUUUAAGUUGGGAGGAAGGGCAGUAAGUUAAUACCUUGCUGUUUUGACGUUACCAACAGAAUAAGCACCGGCUAACUUCGUG